AUUGAACGCUGGCGGCAUGCUUUACACAUGCAAGUCGAACGGUAACAGGCCGCAAGGUGCUGACGAGUGGCGAACGGGUGAGUAAUGCAUCGGAACGUGCCCAGUCGUGGGGGAUAACUACUCGAAAGGGUAGCUAAUACCGCAUACGAUCUAUGGAUGAAAGCGGGGGACCGUAAGGCCUCGCGCGAUUGGAGCGGCCGAUGUCAGAUUAGGUAGUUGGUGGGGUAAAGGCUCACCAAGCCAACGAUCUGUAGCUGGUCUGAGAGGACGACCAGCCACACUGGGACUGAGACACGGCCCAGACUCCUACGGGAGGCAGCAGUGGGGAAUUUUGGACAAUGGGCGCAAGCCUGAUCCAGCAAUGCCGCGUGCAGGAAGAAGGCCUUCGGGUUGUAAACUGCUUUUGUACGGAACGAAACGGCUCUGGUUAAUACCCGGGGCUAAUGACGGUACCGUAAGAAUAAGCACCGGCUAACUACGU
This 481-nucleotide ribosomal RNA is filed under the name uncultured bacterium. Its description in RNAcentral is "partial 16S ribosomal RNA". It matches the Rfam family "Bacterial small subunit ribosomal RNA", at positions 30 to 506 of the family's 1533-position model. The record is from RNAcentral.